RNAcentral lists this ribosomal RNA (518 nucleotides) under uncultured Acidobacteriota bacterium. Its description in RNAcentral is "bacterial SSU rRNA". It matches the Rfam family "Bacterial small subunit ribosomal RNA", at positions 32 to 529 of the family's 1533-position model. Lineage: Bacteria; Pseudomonadati; Acidobacteriota. The record is from RNAcentral.
AACGCUGGCGGCGUGCCUAACACAUGCAAGUCGAACGCGAAAGUCCCGCUAGGGAUUAGUAGAGUGGCAAACGGGUGAGUAACGCGUGGGUGACCUGCCUUCGAGCGGGGGAUAACGUUUCGAAAGGAACGCUAAUACCGCAUGAUGUCUUGCCUUUGAAGAGGUGGCGACCAAAGCCGGGGAUCGCAAGACCUGGCACUUGAAGAGGGGCCCGCGUCCGAUUAGCUAGUUGGUGGGGUAAUGGCUCACUAAGGCUCCGAUCGGUAUCCGGCCUGAGAGGGCGGACGGACACACUGGGAUUGAGACACGGCCCAGACUCCUACGGGAGGCAGCAGUGGGGAAUUGUUCGUAAUGGGCGCAAGCCUGACGACGCAACGCCGCGUGGAGGAUGAAGACCUUUGGGUCGUAAACUCCUUUCGAUCGAGACGAAUGGCCUUCGGGUGAACAAUUCGGAGGAAUGACGGUACCGAGAGAAGAAGCCCCGGCUAACUCCGUGCCAUCAGCCGCGGUAAUAAGGU